Molecule: long non-coding RNA, 1180 nt
Organism: Culex quinquefasciatus (southern house mosquito)
Lineage: Eukaryota; Metazoa; Arthropoda; Insecta; Diptera; Culicidae
Exons: 3
Source: RefSeq, a predicted model, not a curated record
UUAUGAAAGCAUUAGCCAAGCUUAUGAGAUCAGAUCGAAUCAGCGCAUGCAUUACAUAAGAUUUUCCGAUGAUGUUCGACCAAUGCCAUGUUGUUGUUUUUUUAUAAGAUCUGGGAACAAAGUUCAUAAGAUUUUCCUAUGGAUUACAUAAGAUUUUCCAAUGAUGUUCGACCAAUACCAUGUUGUUGUUUUUUUAUAAGAACUGGCAACAAAGUUCAUAAGAUUUUCCUAUGGAUUUUAUAGCUUUGAUAUUCGCUAUUUACAAAUGUCAGCAGUGUGAAAAUAGCUUAAGACAAUUUUAUUUCACCCAAACUUUAAAAUGGCGUCGGAAGAGCAAACUUGUGGGAAGUUGUUUCCGAGUGGAGGACACGUAACGACCUUGACUUCAAGUUAAUAACCGUGGCCGAUUCCGUAGGCUCGGUCCAGAUCAAUAGUGAAAACGAAGCCCAUCCCAGAGCGCAAUUUCACCGAUCGAGACGCCAGUUGGAGGCUCCGGCAAGGACGGCAUCUUCUGCCCCCCGGACAGAACGGACUCGCAAAAUUUAACACCGAUCCGGUGGAAUAAAUCCCGAGCUUCAGCGAGAGUGACGCGAUGAGCCCUUCCCGGAAAACAAUUCUGUCGAGACGCCAGUUGGAGGCUCUUGCACGUCCCGGAUCACCGUUCUUUGACCACCGGCCAGAUCUGGUGCGGAAGCGGAGAAAUCCGGGAAAGUAAAGAGGACAUCCCAGUGAACCUGCCUUGGCGUGACUCUUCGGGAACCGGUGAUGAAAACGGAUUAGAGAACAUCGUUCUGGAGAACUUUGGCCAUCAUAGUUUUCCAAUCGAAUCUAGAUCUCAAUUUGAUAUGUAUGCUAGUAUAAAACAGUAAUAAUAAACACUGAUAUCCAUAAUAACAUAAUAAUUAAAGUCAUAAAAAACUUCUUACAAAUAUCAUAAGAAUGCUCUAUGAAAAUCACGAGUAAAAUUUACUAAUUAACACUGAUAUCCAUAAUAAAAUUAUUGUUUAAGUCAUAAAAAUCUUCGUACCAAUAUCAUAAGAUAGCUCGAUGGAAAUCUUAUGUGACGGCUUUGUCAAAUUUCCCCUCCCAGACAUAAGAAAAUCUUAUGACAUUCAAAUAAAAUCCUGAUGUCGAAUGGUCAUAAGACGUUCUUAUGGAUUUCGCCAGUACUUUUUUCUGA